AAUUUGGCACUAGAAUCAGUUCUCACAUCUUCGAUCUGCACACUCUUUAAUUUGUCAGACAAAUGAUCAAUAUUGCAAUUUGCUUCGGUGAAAUGUGUUUGGAGAUUAGUGUUCCGGGCUUCGAUACUUUGGUUGAGGAUGUGAAUGUGUGAAUGCAGCUCAUCGGUUUCUGAUCUUAAUCUCUUUACCAAUGCAGUCUGGGAAGAGACUGUAGUUUCCAAUGUGACAACCUUGUUUACAAGUUCAUCAAUUUUCUCUGCUAAUUGGACUCAGUUUCUUCUUCAGCUUCCUCAUCAUGGACAUUUUCCUCUGGGAGAAAUUCCUUUUUGAGGUCUCUUGGCAAGACUUAAUAGCUGUAUCUGCCAUGAGAGAUCGAGCUUCGUUGUCUUCAAUAACAGUGCCAAUGCCGAAUUCAUCUUUUUUCACUAAUCAACAGGUGUUAACCAAUAUGAAGCAAAAUGAAGAAUAGCAUUGAAGGUAAAAAGAAAGAACCCAUUACAGAUCAAUCCAAACCCAGAUAAGAACCUGAUUUUUUUUUCAGUUCAUUAAUCUAACAAUCCGAUCAAACUUGAUCUAGAUUGUAAAAAGUAAAGAAGAGUAAAUACCUUGGAG
Non-coding RNA from Carica papaya (papaya), 612 nucleotides. The record is from RefSeq and is a predicted model, not a curated record. NCBI's taxonomy places the organism in Eukaryota, Viridiplantae, Streptophyta, Magnoliopsida, Brassicales, Caricaceae.